AGCGGUCAGAGAGGGGAUUUGUACCGGAUUGUGGCCCUCUAUAAAUAUGCCGCUAAAGAGGUUGGUCAUGGAGCGAU
RNAcentral lists this non-coding RNA (77 nucleotides) under Thalassobacter sp. 16PALIMAR09. RNAcentral's name for it is "Alpha-proteobacteria SAM riboswitch aptamer". It matches the Rfam family "Alpha-proteobacteria SAM riboswitch aptamer". Rfam says of the family: This family is a riboswitch found predominantly in alpha-proteobacteria that binds S-adenosyl methionine (SAM). This SAM riboswitch is located upstream of the metA and metC genes in Agrobacterium tumefaciens, and other methionine and SAM biosynthesis genes in other alpha-proteobacteria. Like the other SAM riboswitch, it probably functions to turn off expression of these genes in response to elevated SAM levels. The record is from Rfam by way of RNAcentral. Lineage: Bacteria; Pseudomonadati; Pseudomonadota; Alphaproteobacteria; Rhodobacterales; Roseobacteraceae. RNAcentral also lists the same sequence under 1 other name.